This 25-nucleotide non-coding RNA is filed under the name Mus musculus (house mouse). The record is from RNAcentral. Lineage: Eukaryota; Metazoa; Chordata; Mammalia; Rodentia; Muridae.
UGCUGGUGUGUGGGGCAUAUGUGGC